AUACUUACCUGUCAAGGGAGAUACCAUGAUCACGAAGGUGGUUUUCCCAGGACAAGGCUUAUCCAUUGCAUUCCAGAUGUGCUGACCCCUACGAUUUCCCCAAAUGUGGAAAAUUGGACUGCAUAAUUUGCGGUAGUGGGGGACUGCAUUCACACUCUCCCCUG
Molecule: small nuclear RNA, 164 nt
Filed under: Mus spicilegus (steppe mouse)
Lineage: Eukaryota; Metazoa; Chordata; Mammalia; Rodentia; Muridae
Description: U1 spliceosomal RNA (ENSMSIG00000006857.1)
Rfam family: U1 spliceosomal RNA
About the family: U1 is a small nuclear RNA (snRNA) component of the spliceosome (involved in pre-mRNA splicing). Its 5' end forms complementary base pairs with the 5' splice junction, thus defining the 5' donor site of an intron. There are significant differences in sequence and secondary structure between metazoan and yeast U1 snRNAs, the latter being much longer (568 nucleotides as compared to 164 nucleotides in human).
Source: Rfam by way of RNAcentral